GCCGCUUUAGCUCAGUUGGUAGAGCACGUCAUUCGUAAUGAUGGGGUCGCGUGUUCGAGUCACGCAAGCGGCACCA
Molecule: transfer RNA, 76 nt
Filed under: Aurantimonas coralicida
Lineage: Bacteria; Pseudomonadati; Pseudomonadota; Alphaproteobacteria; Hyphomicrobiales; Aurantimonadaceae
Also listed under: 1 other name
Description: tRNA-Thr
Rfam family: tRNA
About the family: Transfer RNA (tRNA) molecules are approximately 80 nucleotides in length. Their secondary structure includes four short double-helical elements and three loops (D, anti-codon, and T loops). Further hydrogen bonds mediate the characteristic L-shaped molecular structure. tRNAs have two regions of fundamental functional importance: the anti-codon, which is responsible for specific mRNA codon recognition, and the 3' end, to which the tRNAs corresponding amino acid is attached (by aminoacyl-tRNA synthetases). tRNAs cope with the degeneracy of the genetic code in two manners: having more than one tRNA (with a specific anti-codon) for a particular amino acid; and 'wobble' base-pairing, i.e. permitting non-standard base-pairing at the 3rd anti-codon position.
Source: RNAcentral